Molecule: long non-coding RNA, 897 nt
Filed under: Manihot esculenta (cassava)
Lineage: Eukaryota; Viridiplantae; Streptophyta; Magnoliopsida; Malpighiales; Euphorbiaceae
Description: long non-coding RNA (MESC_LNC005012)
Source: RNAcentral
CCAAAUCCCUAAUCUCCAUCCUUCGCGUCUUCAUCUCUCUUCAGUCCCGUAGCCACAGCCACCCACCCCAGUCGCCAGUCCCACAGCCACCCACCCUGCCACCCACUCGCCAAAGCCAGUCUCUUCUCUCCAUCCUUUGCCGCUUCAGUCCCGCAGCCAAUUGAUUUUGUGAAAGGGUGGGUCGCUUGUCAAGGUUGGAUCUUUGAUAAGAUUUGUUGCGGAGAGGUAAUAUCUGCUCUUAGGUUUUAGCUCAGCUUAUUUUUUCACUAUAACCCUGGCGCAUGUUUCUAUCUCUGUUUGGUUCCCGAGAAAAUUGAGGAAAGCCAUGGAAAUUCCAUUUUGAGGUCGAACUAGAAUUCUAAUUCAUGUGUUCUUUAAUCUUUACACCGAGAUUAUGCUUAUUAUGUAUAUAAAACCUUUUUUUUUUUCCAUUCACAAUUAAAUUGAUUACCUUGACUUUUAAUUUAUCCAGAGAAUCUUGUUGUUUUGCUGAUUAUUAUUAAAUCUUUUGGUUGUUGGUUUACUGAGCUAUUAAUUUAUUCAAUAUUAUUGGCUGAAUUAGAUCUAACUUAUUGUUUGUUGACAUGAUGUUUGGAGAUGUUACUGCUUCUUUAACCUUCCACGGAGCCCCCUUUUUUUAAUUACCGCUCCUUAGAUUGUUGAGUACAAUCAAACAUUUGAAGUCUAAUUUAGUUUCUACUUAGUUUCAAUUUGUGAAUUUGAAAGACUGCUGUGGAUUUAAUUACUAUACUGAAAGCAUUGUGUUUUGCAGGACUACUUCUUUUUCUUCUUCCAAUUAGAAAAUAAAAAAAAAAAGAAAUAGAGGGUGAGCAGUAACAGUUUCGGAUUUUGGAGAGUUCAAUUGGUUAGAUAUAAUUCAAUGAAAUUAGAAAAAAA